CCUACGGGCGGCUGCAGUGGGGAAUAUUGCACAAUGGGCGCAAGCCUGAUGCAGCCAUGCCGCGUGUAUGAAGAAGGCCUUCGGGUUGUAAAGUACUUUCAGUCGUGAGGAAGGUGUUAAGGUUAAUAACCUUAGCAAUUGACGUUAGCGACAGAAGAAGCACCGGCUAACUCCGUGCCAGCAGCCGCGGUAAUACGGAGGGUGCGAGCGUUAAUCGGAAUUACUGGGCGUAAAGGGCACGCAGGCGGUUAAUUAAGUGGAUGUUGAAAUCCCCGGCCUUAACCUGGGAAUGGCAUUCAAGACUGGUUAGCUGAGGUCUUGUGGAGGGGGGUAGAAUUCCAGGUGUGGCGGUGAAAUGCGUAGGGAGGUGGAGGAAUACCGGGGGGGAAGCCGGCCCCCUGGAAAAAGACUGACGCUCAUGGGCGAAAGCGUGGGGAGCAAACAGGAUAGAUACCCCUGUAGUC
This 464-nucleotide ribosomal RNA is filed under the name uncultured Arsenophonus sp. Its description in RNAcentral is "bacterial SSU rRNA". It matches the Rfam family "Bacterial small subunit ribosomal RNA", at positions 338 to 795 of the family's 1533-position model. Lineage: Bacteria; Pseudomonadati; Pseudomonadota; Gammaproteobacteria; Enterobacterales; Morganellaceae. The record is from RNAcentral.